This 69-nucleotide transfer RNA is filed under the name Pronothobranchius seymouri. RNAcentral describes it as "tRNA-Ser". The record is from RNAcentral. Lineage: Eukaryota; Metazoa; Chordata; Actinopteri; Cyprinodontiformes; Nothobranchiidae.
GAGAGAGAUAUGAUUAUAACGAUANACUGCUAAUUCUCGCCUUCUCGGUUUAAUUCCGAGGCUCACUCG